GGUAUCUUAAAAAUAUAUUGCAUGAGCAUGAUGAAGUGAAGCUCAAUGUGAGUACUCUGAAGUCC
Camelus dromedarius (Arabian camel) is the source of this 65-nucleotide small nucleolar RNA. NCBI's taxonomy places the organism in Eukaryota, Metazoa, Chordata, Mammalia, Artiodactyla, Camelidae. The record is from Ensembl.